RNAcentral lists this ribosomal RNA (411 nucleotides) under uncultured bacterium. RNAcentral describes it as "bacterial SSU rRNA". It matches the Rfam family "Bacterial small subunit ribosomal RNA", at positions 101 to 507 of the family's 1533-position model. The record is from RNAcentral.
AACGGGUGAGUAAUAUAGUCGGAACGUGCCCAGUCGUGGGGGAUAACGUAGCGAAAGCUACGCUAAUACCGCAUACGAUCUAUGGAUGAAAGCGGGGGAUCGCAAGACCUCGCGCGAUUGGAGCGGCCGAUAUCAGAUUAGGUAGUUGGUGAGGUAAAGGCUCACCAAGCCGACGAUCUGUAGCUGGUCUGAGAGGACGACCAGCCACACUGGGACUGAGACACGGCCCAGACUCCUACGGGAGGCAGCAGUGGGGAAUUUUGGACAAUGGGCGCAAGCCUGAUCCAGCAAUGCCGCGUGCAGGAUGAAGGCCUUCGGGUUGUAAACUGCUUUUGUACGGAACGAAACGGUGAGCUCUAAUACAGUUUGCUAAUGACGGUACCAUAAGAAUAAGCACCGGCUAACUACGUG